Long non-coding RNA from Vidua chalybeata, 540 nucleotides. RefSeq lists it as uncharacterized. The record is from RefSeq and is a predicted model, not a curated record. The transcript is spliced from 3 exons. NCBI's taxonomy places the organism in Eukaryota, Metazoa, Chordata, Aves, Passeriformes, Viduidae.
UUUGCAGGUUACAUGCUGCGCUAUCUAAUGCAGUCAAGUUUUAACUGCUCAGCAACACUUUCAAGAUCACAAGGAGUUUUGCUGGCAAUGUAAUAGCCCUGCAAGGAAUUUAGACAUCUUCAGGUUUGGCAGCAGCUUUGCUGGUGUUUUAGCAUGUUCCUGAGCAAUCUUGAUGUUGAUUCUUGGUCCUUCUUCAGGGUGAUGGAGAAAGCCUUUCAGCAUACAGUAAAAAAUCAUACCUCAAAACCUUUCCCAACUCUCGCACAUCCUCUGGAAGCAAUCACAGCUGCUCCUACAGAAGGAGUCCCAGCACCUCCUGCCUACCCACCCCCUCCACACCAUGAAAACAUUAAAGGAGCAGGGAAAGAGAAUCAAAAUCCUGACUGUUUAGCAGAGUGUCUAGAACAAAAGGAGUGAAAGGUACAGGACUCUCAUGGGUGGGACAUCGAUCUACAAAGUACCAGCAAAGUACCAAGUACCAUGCCUCCCUUGAAACAAAGCAAAAGUAAAGGAAUCUAAAGAUUACAAAACUGCCAUAAA